ACCGUCCUUAUCUUGGGGUUGCGCUACUGUUCAAUGAACGCCUAGUGAGAACAGUACUGCUAACACCUACACAACACAUAGGCAUCCUUGGGGCUCGUUCCCCAAAUGAGGUGCAAUUUUUGGAACC
Python bivittatus (Burmese python) is the source of this 127-nucleotide small nuclear RNA. RefSeq annotates it as U4atac minor spliceosomal RNA. Lineage: Eukaryota; Metazoa; Chordata; Lepidosauria; Squamata; Pythonidae. The record is from RefSeq and is a predicted model, not a curated record.